AUACGGAGGCUCCAAGCGUUAUCCGGAUUCAUUGGGUUUAAAGGGUCCGCAGGCGGGAAAAUAAGUCAGUGGUGAAAGCCUACAGCUCAACUGUAGAACUGCCAUUGAUACUGUUUUUCUUGAGUAUAGAUGAAGUGGGCGGAAUAUAUCAUGUAGCGGUGAAAUGCAUAGAUAUGAUAUAGAACACCGAUUGCGAAGGCAGCUCACUAAACUAUUACUGACGCUCAGGGACGAAAGCGUGGGGAGCGAACAGGAUUAGAAACCCUAGUAGUCC
RNAcentral lists this ribosomal RNA (274 nucleotides) under uncultured bacterium. Its description in RNAcentral is "partial 16S ribosomal RNA". It matches the Rfam family "Bacterial small subunit ribosomal RNA", at positions 523 to 796 of the family's 1533-position model. The record is from RNAcentral.